This 377-nucleotide long non-coding RNA is filed under the name Capsicum annuum. Its description in RNAcentral is "long non-coding RNA (CANN_LNC009049)". Lineage: Eukaryota; Viridiplantae; Streptophyta; Magnoliopsida; Solanales; Solanaceae. The record is from RNAcentral.
UAUUACAACAAUGGGUUGCCUUCGAAUCUCACCGGGGGAAGGAAUCCUAGCUUGGAUUAUGGUUUCAAAGGUGCUGAAAUCGCAAUGGCCUCAUAUUGUUCUGAACUCCAAUUCCUCGCGAAUCCGGUUACUAACCAUGUGCAAAGCGCUGAACAACACAAUCAAGAUGUCAACUCAUUAGGCCUAAUCUCAUCAAGGAAGACAGAGGAGGCACUUGACAUAUUGAAACUCAUGUCAUCCACUUACCUAGUGGCACUAUGUCAAGCAAUUGACUUGAGGCAUUUGGAAGAGAAUCUCAAAGCCACAGUGAAAAGUGCAGUGAGUUUAGCAGCCAAGAAAGUGUUGAUCACUGGCCAAAAUGGUGAACUUCACCAAUC